GGCGAACGGGUGAGUAACACGUGGGCAACCUGCCCUCAGCUCUGGGAUAACUCCAAGAAAUUGGGGCUAAUACCGGAUAUUUCCGCUGACCGCAUGGUCUGGUGGUGGAAAGAUUUAUCGGCUGGGGAUGGGCUCGCGGCUAUCAGCUUGUUGGUGGGGUAACGGCCCACCAAGGCUCCGACGGGUAGCUGGUCUGAGAGGACGAUCAGCCACACUGGGACUGAGACACGGCCAGACUCCUACGGGAGGCAGCAGUGGGGAAUCUUGCGCAAUGGGCGAAAGCCUGACGCAGCAACGCCGCGUGGGGGAUGAAUGCCUUCGGGUUGUAAACCCCUUUCAGCAGGGACGAAAUUGACGGUACCUGCAGAAGAAGCCCCGGCCAACUACGUGCCAGCAGCCGCGG
Molecule: ribosomal RNA, 403 nt
Filed under: uncultured bacterium
Lineage: Bacteria
Description: bacterial SSU rRNA
Rfam family: Bacterial small subunit ribosomal RNA
Source: RNAcentral